Molecule: long non-coding RNA, 1817 nt
Filed under: Triticum aestivum (bread wheat)
Lineage: Eukaryota; Viridiplantae; Streptophyta; Magnoliopsida; Poales; Poaceae
Description: long non-coding RNA (TAES_LNC014099)
Source: RNAcentral
UGGGAUGUUGAUUUGUUAAUAAUGGCUAUCAUCAAAUAGAAAGAAAACACUUGCUUAUUAACUGUUGUAGUGUUGAUGUGCAUGUAUAGAUAGAACAAGUGCUAUCCUUAUGUGCUUGGAGGGAGCCAUCAUGCAUGUGUUAACAAUAUUUUUGACUCGUCUUGGAUGGAUAUAUUUAAUCUAGCUGUAUGUUUGAUUGUCAGUUGUUUGCUAUGCUAGCUAGACAAAUGGGCGUUUCUUUUAUUUUGCUACGCUAGCUAAUCAGUUUCUGUAGCUCAACAAUUUUUGUUAUUUCCUAGGACGCAUCGGAGAUGGGACUCGGCGCAAAUCACACCUACUGUCCCUCCUCUGACGCCUCUGGUGAACACUUCUUCUCUGACUAUGACCUAGGUGAUCCAAUCGCUUCCUUUCUUUUGCAUGCUUACUCUCCUGACUUGUGUGCACAACCAUCGAGUCGUGGUAAUUGUAUGCUGGCCAUUGCCCCAUGGACAUUUCUUGGGAUGGGUUUGGGGCUGUGGUGAUGGUGUCCCACAUUUCUGUUUUGUGAAUGAACGGCGACCAAAAUAUUUUCCUUGCUAUGGUUGCGGCUGCAUUGUGCCAUCUUAUUUGGUACUUCCGAUUGUUAUACAUGUUCUGAAUCCGCGAUGCUCAAGGUCCCAUGUAGUUUUUAAGCUAAACUUGAGGCAGAAAAUGUUUUUGGAAUAAACUAGAUGCAUAAAAUUAUCACCUCUGACAAAAAAAAAGUGUAACCUUUGACAGCUUAAUUCACAUACUAGCUCAUAUAGUAUUUUUUUCUAGGAACUGGGUCCAUGGUUUUUUGGGUGUCUAUUUGUUGCUUCCCUUGUUGAUGUUGUAUUGCCCAGCAAAACAAAACAGUCUGUGCGGUUUUAUUUCUCCUCUUGCUCAGCAAGGUUGUUAAUGACCACUGAUGAGUAGUAUAUAGUUUUAUCUUCCGGCUACGAGUUUCCUUGAUUUUUAUGUGGCACUGUGACUCGUUGUGUCCCGAGCACUCAAAUUUCUUUUGCGAUAAUCUCCAAAGGGUUUGGGAUCUCUUAUGUUGCUCCUUCAUGAGUAGAUGGAUGGAACAUUUGGGCUUAGGAUCUUGCUGCAUCUCUCAACACUCUUCAGUCUCUUCAGGCUGUAGUUGGCAAGGAUAAGCAGUGAACGAUAUAUCUAUUAUUUACCAUCUCUAGGUCACAAUUUAGGACGUUUUCAAUAUUGAUAGCUCAUUGUUUUGAAAUUUGACUAUCAGUUCCUAUGAAAAUUAUGUUUCUUCAAAUUGAACCAAAUAUUCAUUAUAAACAUAUAUUUCAAAAUAAUCUAGUAGUAUUAAUAUGUUGAAGUUGUUGUUAUUUGUUAUAUAUUGAUAGUUGUGAUCAACCUUUAAAUUCAGGUCCUGCAUUUGGAUCUCAUUGCUGCUGCUUUGGUUAGGCGGCAAUUUAGAAACUCUACAGCAGUAGGCACGCGCGAGCGCGUACUUGCAUGUCACGCUAAUCAAGAAUGAAGCAUAUAGUUAGUUCAUAUUGUGUCUGUAAAGGCUAGCUUGCCUAGUUAGGGCCCGUAUCUUAUGUAUCUUAGUGCUUUUAAUCCUCCGCUGAUGUAUCUCCCAUUGUGGUCGAUCCUUGCAGUUUGCCUUUGCAUAUUUGCACUGUUUUGUCUGUAUUAGCUGCCUUUGCCAUUGCAUACUCAUGGUUUUCAUGUGCCAUUGGCUGUUACAAGUGGCACUUCGAGUUGUUUAUUUACCUUACUAAGUAAUAUUCCUUCCAUGAGAUGAGGUUUGCCUGCAACAGUGGCUGUGGUGGCUACCUCUUCCUUGG